Molecule: ribosomal RNA, 547 nt
Filed under: uncultured bacterium
Lineage: Bacteria
Description: bacterial SSU rRNA
Rfam family: Bacterial small subunit ribosomal RNA
Source: RNAcentral
ACUCAAUAGAUACCCGGGUAGUCCACGCCGUAAACUAUGGAUGCUAGCUGUUAUCGGUAUCGACCCCGGUAGUAGCGAAAGCUAAACGCGUUAAGCAUCCCGCCUGUGGAGUACGAGCGCAAGCUUAAAACAUAAAGGAAUUGACGGGGACCCGCACAAGCGGUGGAGCGUGUUGUUUAAUUCGACGGUAAACGAAGAACCUUACCCAGGCUUGACAUCCUGCUAAGAUUUCCGAAAGGAAAUUGUGCCUUCGGGCCGCAGUGACAGGUGCUGCAUGGUCGUCGUCAGCUCGUGUCGUGAGAUGUUUGGUUAAGUCCAUCAACGAGCGCAACCCUUAUAGUCAGUUGGAUUUUUCUGGCUAGACUGCCCCGGUAACGGGGAGGAAGGAGGGGAUGAUGUCAGAUCAUUAUUGCCCUUACGUCUGGGGCUACAAACACGCUACAAUGGCCGGUACAAAGGGCAGCCAACCCGCGAGGGGAGCAAAUCCCAUCAAAGCCGGUCUCAGUUCGGAUUGUAGGCUGAAACUCGCCUGCAUGAAGCUGGAAUC